This is an RNA transcript of Cyanidioschyzon merolae strain 10D, 1900 nucleotides long. RefSeq lists it as hypothetical. NCBI's taxonomy places the organism in Eukaryota, Rhodophyta, Bangiophyceae, Cyanidiales, Cyanidiaceae. The record is from RefSeq and is a predicted model, not a curated record. The transcript has a single exon.
AUCCAGCUCGAUAUGCACUCGUCGUGAACUACGCUGGAAUCAUAUGUACGUUAAGGGUGCCCGAUGCCGCAACGAUGACUGCAAUAUGCGUAUGGCUUUCCAGAAUAACCUGCUAGUAUUCACGGUGCAGCACUGGAGAAGCCUGCGGCGAGUGCACGCGACAUGGCACAUACGCGCAACAUACAGGGCGCCAGCGUCUCUUGCAUCAACCGUAGAACGUCAAAGCCAGUUUCAAGAGAUGCCGCAGACUCUGAAUCGUCCAAUUUCACGAGCAGUGUCCUAGGUACGCAUAUUGUCUGCGUUCGCUGCUGACCAGUGUAGGGCAGACUCGCCAGCUCACGUAGUCACCGUGCGCUGCAACGGUGAAAGCUCACUCUCAACGUUUUGGCGCAGAUCAAGAACCUCGCGUCGAUCCCUACGUUUGGAAAGCAGCCUAAGGCGAUUGCGGAGAUCCAAUGACGCUGGAUGGUCUCUGGGACUGACGUCUCAGCGCUUCACUGGUGAGCGACUCAUGGUUCGGAUACGGAUUGCAUACGAGCUUGCAUGCAUAUAAGCGUGAACCGCCGCCGCGAUAGCCGUCUGCUCGCCCCAUCCGCGCAACUGCGAAGCAGGUCAAGUUGAGCAGCGCAGUCGCCGGGCAUGCGCAGAAGCGUGCAGCUGUCGCGAGCGCUGGUGUCAGGUGGCGUCUGUGCCUUGCAGAUCGUCAUCAACCUGCGACGUAACGCGCUGUCCAAAGGGACACAUGGCUAGUGCACGCGUUUCGCCAGUGCACAUGUCACUUGGGAUGCGCUGGUGUCAUGUGGCGUCUGUGCCUUGCAGAUCGCCAUCAGCCUGCGACGUAACGCGCUGUCCAAAGGGACACAUGGCUAGUGCACGCGUUUCGCCAGUGCACAUGUCACUUGGGAUGCGCGCGCUACGCCAAUAUCCCGUACAGCGUCGCGUGCGUUGGAUGGUUUCAACGUUGGGCGCUACGAUUCUUGUGAGCGCACAGCUGCAUGCGGGUAUUAUUCUUCAAUGACCUGCCAGAGCAGUUGACUCGGCAGAGUCGGCUUUCGCGUUGGUUGCAGAGACAGUCAAGCUGUUCAUGAGUUUCCGUUCAGCAGAGCUGGGUGCGGCGGACGCCUUUAGUCUGCGAUAGACUUCUGGUGUCAGGGGCUCGUCGAGCCGUCCGCUGUAUUCAUCGGCACACGGAUAAGCAAGAAUCGGCAGAUGCGUUGCGUCAACUCGCCACCUUUUUAUCAUAUAUCGAUGUUGCGGCGCCCGUGCAAACGAUUUAUCGGUCAACAUUCCCAACGAGAAUCAUGUUCCGAGCUCCAUCGAUUGCAGCGCUUUCGUGAGCGCGAGGCGUACUCGCCGCUUUGCUUGCAAUCGAUAGCAAUCGCGCAUGCGCGUAUGGUGUACGAUGAGACAAUGUGAAAUACUAUGAGACAGAACUAGAUGCUGAGAGACACAGUCGCAGCUGCAGCUCCUCCUUGGCUGGUGCAAGUGCUGGUGCAAGUGCUGGUGCAAGUGCUGGUGCUUCGCGAAGCUGUCGGUGCUGGUGUCGGAGAGCGUAACCGAGUCUGAAGACGCUAGCUUGUUGACUGGUUGUUUCCCUUGCCUGCAUUCAAAAGAGCAGGGUUGAAACAGCUGUUCAGUGUUGCGUUCAAGCCGGCGAAUGCAAAGCGUUAGGUACGCGGCAUAACUUCAGGUACUUUGGUCCACUAAUGGCCGACGACGGUCACUUCCACCAACAUCACGGGGCAGAAGGACACAGUGGGUGCGGCUGCAGCACGCACGGUACCGAUGGUCACGCUCCGCCGCCCCCGACGGAGGAGGAAGCGCGUUCACUGCUUCAGCAGUCGAACCUCUACCCUUAUAUAGACUUGAGCCGGGUGACGGCGCUAAACGACGGCGGUGC